RNAcentral lists this ribosomal RNA (65 nucleotides) under Potamon hueceste. Its description in RNAcentral is "partial 16S ribosomal RNA". The record is from RNAcentral. Lineage: Eukaryota; Metazoa; Arthropoda; Malacostraca; Decapoda; Potamidae.
AUCUUUUAAAUAAUAAUAGGUUAUUUUAGUACGAAAGGAGUAAAUAACUAAAAUAUUUUUACAUA